GUGGUGCCAAGCAGUGCCCCAAUAAUACCAGCUCUGCCCCUGCUCCGAGGAUGGUGUGUCUUCCCCACCAGAGUGAUCUAGGACUCCUAGAGCUUGCACACAAUCUACAGCCAGACCUCAUGGCCUUGACCAGGUGACAGCUUCAAAAGUGUUUCAGGUGUAGCUGAGCAGACCCACUUCCAGGGCUGAGCGGAAGACUCGGCCAACCCCCUGCAGUCCACAGAGGGCUGCUGAGCAGGAGCACAGGUCUCAGCCACACCAACUAGAGGCCAUGAAACAACUCCAAGAACUCCAUGCUGUUAGACAAGAGGCUUUCUCCUUCCGAGGACACCAGCCUUAGAAAUAUGGUUAGAGACACUAAAUUCUCUGCCCCAGGAUAAAGUUGGAAGUGAGGGCAAAAGUGGAGCAGGAGAUAAGAGAGCAAGAGGAAUCAACACUUUUUCCCUCGGGCUUCUUUUAAACACCUCAACCUGCAAACUCUUAUCUCAAAAGGAGACAAUCAAGCCCAUGGAAAAAAGCCAGUCAUUGGACUAUCAGCUUGGGACAAGGGAAAGACGAGAUGGGACUUUUGGACUUCCUUGAGACAGAGGCCACACCAGAGAGUGUUGAGCUAAUCACUGGUCAGAAUUGGAGAGCUCACUCUAAGGCCCACUGGCCAGAAUCUAAAUUCCGGGGCACUGACUUGACAAGAUAACUAAAUUUGCCUUUCCUAAAAUUGACUGGCAGCAAACAGAUCCCAAAGCUACCAAGUUUUUAAGAGAAUUGAGUUUUCAGAGACUCCCCAGGCUGUUGAACAAAGGUCUACACAUAUAUUGUUGUGCAGCUUUUCUUUUUUCAAUUAGCAAUGCAUCUUGGGACGAGGUUCAUACCAGUGCCUACUGGCUUGACCUUCUGUCUUUAACAUCUACAAGUGAUAUUUCAUUAUAUAGAGUUUUAUAAUUUCUUUAUCAAGUCCACUAUUGCUGACCACCGACUGCUAUCCAAUUUAGAGAUACCAUACAGAAUGCUGCACUGAAUAUCCUUGACUGUACUUGUGAAAAUAAGUUUUUCUUUAAAACUCAAAGGUGGUACUAUGGAGAGGGUUACUAUAUCCCAGCCGACAACUCCUUGAACCUAACAAGCAUUGGUUCAAUAAAUGA
Non-coding RNA from Equus caballus (horse), 1139 nucleotides. Lineage: Eukaryota; Metazoa; Chordata; Mammalia; Perissodactyla; Equidae. The record is from RefSeq and is a predicted model, not a curated record.